This is a long non-coding RNA of Meriones unguiculatus (Mongolian gerbil), 330 nucleotides long. RefSeq lists it as uncharacterized. NCBI's taxonomy places the organism in Eukaryota, Metazoa, Chordata, Mammalia, Rodentia, Muridae. The transcript is spliced from 3 exons. The record is from RefSeq and is a predicted model, not a curated record.
UGGAACUCAGCCAUGUCAAUCAGUGCAGAUUCGAUUGGCCUCUCGGCAGCUGGCUUGAGCCGAUUUUUUUUUGCUCGGAGCUGUAGACUCUUCCAUCUUGAGGCUUCCCGCAACCUGGGUGUGGUACAGACUUGAGUGAGGGUAGAAUGUUCUGCCUCAAAGUACCCAUGAGGACAGAAGAGAGCAUCGGAUCCCCUUAGACUGGAGGUAUAGCGGACUGCAGCUGCCUAAUGCAGGUGUCGGGAACCAGCUGGUCCUCUGAAAGAGCAAUAUGUGCCCUUAACCCCGAGCUAUCUCUCCAAGUCCCUAAAAUAAAUUCAGUUGAUUUGC